This 101-nucleotide non-coding RNA is filed under the name human gut metagenome. RNAcentral describes it as "S10-Clostridia ribosomal protein leader". It matches the Rfam family "S10-Clostridia ribosomal protein leader". The record is from RNAcentral.
UGAUAGCGUUGAAGCGUGAGGUUGCUGCCUGUGGGAUGGAAGGCAAUACCGCAUGGCAGGUUUUCCGUGGAGCGAAUGUCAAGUUAGGAAACUGGCGACAA